GCUUCCAGCUUUUCCCUUCCUUUGUUUUUUUUUUCCUUUCUUUUUUUGAAUAAAAGAUUCAUAGUCCUUGGCUCUUUUGUUUUAUGGUUUUUACUUAUUGGAGUUUCUCGCUCAGGUCAAACUCCACAUCAACUAUUUUCUGUUUUUAAAUUUUGUUUCAACUUAGUUAGUUAGUUAACAAUGUUUGUUAAUUAGUUGGACAGCUGUCUUAAUUUGAUUGGUCUAGUCUUCUUUGUAUCUGUAUAAGCAAGCUUCUAUAUAUAGGAGAGCUUAGCUCUGUUUCGUGGUCUUUGUAAGUUUCUGAGAACUUUCUCAAGAGAGAAAUAGUAGCAAGAAGAUAAAAUUCAUUAUCUUAAAAUUUCUUUUUCUUAAUUUAAUAUCAGAGCAGAGAAAUCUUCAACAGUGGCAGAUAAAGUUCCACAUCCUCUGCCAUCUAAUUUUCUUAGUAUCUCAGAGGUCGAUCUUGUGCGCACUGAUCUGAUUUCUAUUUCACCGUUUCCCAACAUAAUACUCAAGCUUGAUGCUGGUAAUUUUCUGAUCUGGAAGCUUCAAGUCCUGCCGAUUCUGAGAGGCCAUAAGCUGGACAAAUUUGUGCUUAAAGAUGAACCACCGUUUAUGCAAGAAAUUGGUGCCCUAGAGUGCAAAAUUGACGAAAUAAAUUCUUAAUCGUUACUCUUCGGAACACGUCUCUGGAUUCUACAUGAUCAAUUGCUUCAAGGUUGGAUUGUAGCAGCAAUUUUUUCUUUUAUAGCUAGAUUGGUGAUAGAUUUGAAAACUUCUCAUCGAAUUUGGUGAGUUUUUGAGCUGAAUUAUGCUUCCAAAUCAAUGAUGAACUUGCUGCAGAUGUGUAUAGUUGCAGAAUAGGAAAAAGGGAUCGAACAAUAUAGCUUCAUAUUUCUUGAAGAUGAUGUCUAUGGCUGAUCAAAUGGCAGCUGAAGGAGGUUUUGUUCCAGAAGAAGAUCUUGUUUCUUACAUCUUAAGAAGUCUUGGACCAAAGUAUGAAAUGCUAAUAGUCAGUCUGCAACACGUUCAACACCCCCAAGUCUUGAGGAGGUAAAACAACAUCUUAUUUACUAUGAAGAUCGUCUUGAAGUUCAAAAUUGUGCUGGUGUAAUGGAUUUUGUACCAAAUCUUGCAAGCUCUCCUGUAAAUUUGGUUGGAUUAGAUCUGUUACACAGUAAAAUUCAUGAUUUACCCUCAAAUCCUGUGUCUAAUUCUACCUCUAUGUUAAUUGCCACACUUUUGGUGAAUAAAAAUUCUCUGAAUGGUAGUACCAAUUUGUUACCGGUUAGCCCUUCUUCCUCCGUAAUUAUAACAAAUGCUUUUGAUGUUUCAAAUGAUUUUGUGGUUUCAAAGUCUAAAAGCAAGAAUAAAUUCAGAAAUAGGAGACGUUAAUGUCAAAUUUGUUAACGAAUGGGACAUACUGCUAAUGUUUGCUAUUUUAGACAUAGCAAAUCACCUCAAUCUGUGACGUGUUCAACUGUACCACCAUUUGCUAUGAGCAGUCUACAAUUUUUAGGAUAUGGGGCAUCAUCACCUUUGUAAUAUGGUACAUCAUUUAACAAUCAAUUUGGGCAUCAAAUGAGAAAUUCAGCCUUUAUGUUACCUAGUUUUGUACCGUCAACUGGUCAGACUUUCAUUCCUACUAUGCCACAAUGGCAUCCUCACCCAUUACCAGUUUCACAGGUUGUUUCAGCCUCAUAGAUUGAACCACCAAGAGACAAUAAAUCUUUUAAGAAUCAUUCAGCACUAUUUACUACUCCUCUUUUGGCUCGAGACACAAACUGGUAUCUUGAUAGUGGAGCUAUAAAUCAUGUAGCAGCUACAAGUACUGGCUUGCUCCAAUACUUUGAUUAUAAUGGAUAAGCAGCUAGGAGUGAUUGUUCUUAAAGGAAUUUUUGAUGCUGGACUAUACAAAUUGGAAUUGCCAUGGUCAAACUCUGCUGUGAUUCAAGAAGAUGCUGAUCAAAAGAAAUUUUAUCCCUUUCAAAAAGUUUAAGCCACUGAGAUUUCCAAUAAGAAGCCUCUAUAUAAUCAACAAGUUGCAGAUGUUGGACUUCCAGCUUUUUCUAAAAUGAAGUCUUGUGAUAACCAGUCAGCUUUGUAGAUUUUCUUUCCUUUUAAGAAAUACUCUCUGUUACUGCUUUUUCCAGUUCAAGAGAUAAUCUGUCUUAUAUUACUUGUAAUGCUCUUGCUGUCAAUAGUAAUAAGAAUGUUGAUGACAACUUUAACGUUUUACAUCAGAGAAUAGGACAUCCUUCAGUUGUAUUACUAUGGGAAGUGUUAACUCUUUGUAAUAAGUUUUUUUCUAAUAAAGAGAUUCUUCAAUUUUGUGAA
Long non-coding RNA from Ziziphus jujuba (common jujube), 2337 nucleotides. RefSeq lists it as uncharacterized. Lineage: Eukaryota; Viridiplantae; Streptophyta; Magnoliopsida; Rosales; Rhamnaceae. The record is from RefSeq and is a predicted model, not a curated record. The transcript is spliced from 2 exons.